Molecule: ribosomal RNA, 468 nt
Filed under: uncultured bacterium
Lineage: Bacteria
Description: partial 16S ribosomal RNA
Rfam family: Bacterial small subunit ribosomal RNA
Source: RNAcentral
GACGAACGCUGGCGGCGUGCUUAACACAUGCAAGUCGAACGGAAAGGCCCUGCUUUUGUGGGGUGCUCGAGUGCCGAAGGGGUGAGUAACACGUGAGUAACCUGCCCUUGACUUUGGGAUAACUUCAGGAAACGGGGGCUAAAACCGGAUAGGAUCUCCUGCUCCAUGGUGGGGGUUGGAAAGUUUCGGCGGUUGGGGAUGGACUCGCGGCUUAUCAGCUUGUUGGUGGGGUAGGGGCUUACCAAGGCUUUGACGGGUAGCCGGCCUGAGAGGGUGACCGGCCACCUUGGGACUGAGAUACGGCCCAGACUCCUACGGGAGGCAGCAGUGGGGAAUAUUGCACAAUGGGCGGAAGCCUGAUGCAGCAGCGCCGCGUGCGGGAUGACGGCCUUCGGGUUGUAAACCGCUUUCGCCUGUGACGAAGCGUGAGUGACGGUAAUGGGUAAAGAAGCACCGGCUAACUACGUG